CUCGGAUCAUGUAGGGAUACUCGCUGAACAUAUUCAUAUCAUUAUUCGGCAGGAAGAA
This 58-nucleotide ribosomal RNA is filed under the name Coccomyces multangularis. RNAcentral's name for it is "partial 28S ribosomal RNA". The record is from RNAcentral. Lineage: Eukaryota; Fungi; Ascomycota; Leotiomycetes; Rhytismatales; Rhytismataceae.